This 688-nucleotide ribosomal RNA is filed under the name uncultured Streptomyces sp. RNAcentral describes it as "bacterial SSU rRNA". It matches the Rfam family "Bacterial small subunit ribosomal RNA", at positions 332 to 1031 of the family's 1533-position model. Lineage: Bacteria; Bacillati; Actinomycetota; Actinomycetes; Kitasatosporales; Streptomycetaceae. The record is from RNAcentral.
CAGACUCCUACGGGAGGCAGCAGUGGGGAAUAUUGCACAAUGGGCGAAAGCCUGAUGCAGCGACGCCGCGUGAGGGAUGACGGCCUUCGGGUUGUAAACCUCUUUCAGCAGGGAAGAAGCGAGAGUGACGGUACCUGCAGAAGAAGUGCCGGCUAACUACGUGCCAGCAGCCGCGGUAAUACGUAGGGCGCAAGCGUUGUCCGGAAUUAUUGGGCGUAAAGAGCUCGUAGGCGGCUUGUCACGUCGAUUGUGAAAGCCCGAGGCUUAACCUCGGGUCUGCAGUCGAUACGGGCUAGCUAGAGUGUGGUAGGGGAGGUCGGAAUUCCUGGUGUAGCGGUGAAAUGCGCAGAUAUCAGGAGGAACACCGGUGGCGAAGGCGGAUCUCUGGGCCAUUACUGACGCUGAGGAGCGAAAGCGUGGGGAGCGAACAGGAUUAGAUACCCUGGUAGUCCACGCCGUAAACGGUGGGAACUAGGUGUUGGCGACAUUCCACGUCGUCGGUGCCGCAGCUAACGCAUUAAGUUCCCCGCCUGGGGAGUACGGCCGCAAGGCUAAAACUCAAAGGAAUUGACGGGGGCCCGCACAAGCGGCGGAGCGUGUGGCUUAAUUCAACGCAACGCGAAGAACCUUACCAAGGCUUGACAUACACCGGAGAGCAUUAGAGAUAGUGCCCCCCUUGUGGUCGGUG